AUUGAACGCUGGCGGCAGGCCUAGCACAUGCAAGUCGAACGGUAACAGGAAACAGCUUGCUGUUUCGCUGACGAGUGGCGGACGGGUGAGUAAUGUCUGGGAAACUGCCUGAUGGAGGGGGAUAACUACUGGAAACGGUAGCUAAUACCGCAUAACGUCGCAAGACCAAAGAGGGGGACCUUCGGGCCUCUUGCCAUCGGAUGUGCCCAGAUGGGAUUAGCUAGUAGGUGGGGUAACGGCUCACCUAGGCGACGAUCCCUAGCUGGUCUGAGAGGAUGACCAGCCACACGAGAACUGAGACACGGUCCAGACUCCUACGGGAGGCAGCAGUGGGGAAUAUUGCACAAUGGGCGCAAGCCUGAUGCAGCCAUGCCGCGUGUAUGAAGAAGGCCUUCGGGUUGUAAAGUACUUUCAGCGGGGAGGAAGGGAGUAAAGUUAAUACCUUUACUCAUUGACGUUACCCGCAGAAGAAGCACCGGCUAACUCCGUG
Molecule: ribosomal RNA, 490 nt
Filed under: uncultured bacterium
Lineage: Bacteria
Description: partial 16S ribosomal RNA
Rfam family: Bacterial small subunit ribosomal RNA
Source: RNAcentral